This 486-nucleotide ribosomal RNA is filed under the name uncultured bacterium. Its description in RNAcentral is "partial 16S ribosomal RNA". It matches the Rfam family "Bacterial small subunit ribosomal RNA", at positions 30 to 507 of the family's 1533-position model. The record is from RNAcentral.
AUUGAACGCUGGCGGCAUGCCUUACACAUGCAAGUCGAACGGCAGCACGGGUGCUUGCCCCUGGUGGCGAGUGGCGAACGGGUGAGUAAUACAUCGGAACAUGUCCUGUAGUGGGGGAUAGCCCGGCGAAAGCCGGAUUAAUACCGCAUACGAUCUACGGAUGAAAGCGGGGGACCUUCGGGCCUCGCGCUAUAGGGUUGGCCGAUGGCUGAUUAGCUAGUUGGUGGGGUAAAGGCAUACCAAGGCGACGAUCAGUAGCCGAUCUGAGAGGACGACCAGCCACACUGGGACUGAGACACGGCCCAGACUCCUACGGGAGGCAGCAGUGGGGAAUUUUGGACAAUGGGCGAAAGCCUGAUCCAGCAAUGCCGCGUGUGUGAAGAAGGCCUUCGGGUUGUAAAGCACUUUUGUCCGGAAAGAAAUCCUUGGCCCUAAUACGGUCGGGGGAUGACGGUACCGGAAGAAUAAGCACCGGCUAACUACGUG